This 467-nucleotide ribosomal RNA is filed under the name uncultured Anoxybacillus sp. Its description in RNAcentral is "bacterial SSU rRNA". It matches the Rfam family "Bacterial small subunit ribosomal RNA", at positions 916 to 1381 of the family's 1533-position model. The record is from RNAcentral. Lineage: Bacteria; Bacillati; Bacillota; Bacilli; Caryophanales; Anoxybacillaceae.
GACGGGGCCCGCACAAGCGGUGGAGCAUGUGGUUUAAUUCGAAGCAACGCGAAGAACCUUGCCAGGUCUUGACAUCCCCUGACAACCGAGAGAUCGGGCGUUCCCCUUCGGGGGACAGGGUGACAGGUGGUGCAUGGUUGUCGUCAGCUCGUGUCGUGAGAUGUUGGGUUAAGUCCCGCAACGAGCGCAACCCUCGACCUUAGUUGCCAGCAUUCAGUUGGGCACUCUAAGGUGACUGCCGGCUAAAAGUCGGAGGAAGGUGGGGAUGACGUCAAAUCAUCAUGCCCCUUAUGACCUGGGCUACACACGUGCUACAAUGGGCGGUACAAAGGGUCGCGAACCCGCGAGGGGGAGCCAAUCCCAAACGGCCUCUCAGUUCGGAUAGUAGUCUGCAACUCGACUACUUGAAGUCGGAAUCGCUAGUAAUGGCGGAUCAGCAUGCCGCCGUGAAUACGUUCCCGGGUCUU